RNAcentral lists this non-coding RNA (43 nucleotides) under Trichobilharzia regenti. Lineage: Eukaryota; Metazoa; Platyhelminthes; Trematoda; Strigeidida; Schistosomatidae. The record is from RNAcentral.
AUCCAGCUGACGAGUCCCAAAUAGGACGAAAUGCAUCCUGGAU